Psammomys obesus (fat sand rat) is the source of this 880-nucleotide long non-coding RNA. RefSeq lists it as uncharacterized. Lineage: Eukaryota; Metazoa; Chordata; Mammalia; Rodentia; Muridae. The transcript has 2 exons. The record is from RefSeq and is a predicted model, not a curated record.
CACAUUCCUAGGACUCGGGACCCGGGACGCUGCUCCAACGGUCCAGAACUACAAGCCUGUGCCGGUGGACACUGGGCCAGGAAGUCAGGGAGCCGGCACCGAAGCUGGUCCAGCGAUUAGAGCCCCAGCUGUGGCACAUGGCAAGUCCAGCUGUGCUGUAUACUAUCUAUGUAAUCCUACCUAGUUGUGUGACCUGGUGAGAGAUGCUUCACCUCUCUGGACGGCCCCUUGCUCUUGUUUAACAUGAAGAUACUACUGGCGAUAUGGCUGGCGAUUAAAUGAGAUCAUGGGUAAAGUCCCAAAGAGGGUGGGACAGGGAGUGAGCCCAUCUGGCAGCUGUCAUCGCAAGGCCUGAUAUGAAAGGAGUUACAGAUUACCAGAUUACUACUGUGCCCAAGAGGAAACUGAGGAGCCCAGGCCACCACACCAAGAAGUAACGAGAGACAAUACCAAACCAAGGCAUGCUAGGGAGGGAGAAAUUGAUUCAGACCAAGGGGAGAAGUGACACUUGAGCUGGGCUUUGAAGGGUGGUUGAGUUUCACCAGGCAGAUAAAGGGGAGCAGUGUGGCAGGAAGUGGGAGCAAGUCGGCAAGAAACCGAAGGCAGGUUCUUCAACCUUGGCCUUCUAAGAAUCAGGACUAGGAAGCUCAGUGUUGUGUUUGGGGAGACUUGAGCAGCCAAGAUAAUGAAAUGAGACUAGUCUGGACACAGAACUGGCAUGCAGACCACCGAGUGUCCAAUCUGCCUCCAGGCAUCCCUUGGGUCUCAGGAUCCCCUGCAAGAUGGGAACGAAGCUUCACGGAGAGACAGGUGUGAAAGGAAAAGGAUGCACCUGUCUUCUUGUUCUUUGCCUUUGAUUAAACACUCUCUGAUUAUCACA